GGCUGGAUGGCAGAUUGGCUAUGCAUCGGAUUGCAAAUCCGCGUAAAACGGUUCAAUUCCGUUUCCAGCCUC
RNAcentral lists this transfer RNA (72 nucleotides) under Candidatus Portiera aleyrodidarum (primary endosymbiont of Bemisia tabaci). Its description in RNAcentral is "tRNA-Cys(gca)". It matches the Rfam family "tRNA". From Rfam's summary of the family: Transfer RNA (tRNA) molecules are approximately 80 nucleotides in length. Their secondary structure includes four short double-helical elements and three loops (D, anti-codon, and T loops). The record is from RNAcentral. Lineage: Bacteria; Pseudomonadati; Pseudomonadota; Gammaproteobacteria; Johnevansiales (SeqCode); Johnevansiaceae (SeqCode).